Molecule: ribosomal RNA, 659 nt
Filed under: uncultured bacterium
Lineage: Bacteria
Description: bacterial SSU rRNA
Rfam family: Bacterial small subunit ribosomal RNA
Source: RNAcentral
CAGUCGAACGGGAAAUAUUUCAUUGAGACUUCGGUGGAUUUGAUCUAUUUCUACUGUCGGACGGGUGAGUAACGCGUGGGUAACCUGCCUUAUACAGGGGGAUAACAGUCAGAAAUGGCUGCUAAUACCGCAUAAGCGCACAGAGCUGCAUGGCUCAGUGUGAAAAACUCCGGUGGUAUAAGAUGGACCCGCGUUGGAUUAGCUUGUUGGUGGGGUAACGGCCCACCAAGGCGACGAUCCAUAGCCGGCCUGAGAGGGUGAACGGCCACAUUGGGACUGAGACACGGCCCAGACUCCUACGGGAGGCAGCAGUGGGGAAUAUUGCACAAUGGGGGAAACCCUGAUGCAGCGACGCCGCGUGAAGGAAGAAGUAUCUCGGUAUGUAAACUUCUAUCAGCAGGGAAGAUAGUGACGGUACCUGACUAAGAAGCCCCGGCUAACUACGUGCCAGCAGCCGCGGUAAUACGUAGGGGGCAAGCGUUAUCCGGAUUUACUGGGUGUAAAGGGAGCGUAGACGGUGUGGCAAGUCUGAUGUGAAAGGCAUGGGCUCAACCUGUGGACUGCAUUGGAAACUGUCAUACUUGAGUGCCGGAGGGGUAAGCGGAAUUCCUAGUGUAGCGGUGAAAUGCGUAGAUAUUAGGAGGAACACCAGUGGCGAA